CCCGGGCCCCGGCGUUAUCCUGCCCCGCCGGCCCAGCAGCGCUCGCCCCGGGAAGAAGCUCCUGUAGGAAAGGGCAGGAAGAGAACUUCUAAACAGAGAGCAGCUUCUGUGACUCCUUAGGAAGUCAAUGAAGUCUCCAACAGCCACCAGCUGUUGGAAACAGAUGCCAUUUGGAGAAAACACGUCAUAAUCUCACAUGGCAAACCCAGCACAUUUCAUCCACUACAGAGUGCUGUUGCAUGGAGCACCCUGCUUUAAUCCUCUAGAUGGAAUAACCCAUCCCUGAAGAGCUUCAAGGUUAUUCAAAACUCUCCUGCUGUGCUUGCUUCUUUUGAGUGAGAUUAGCAAGUCAAUCAUCAAGUGUCCACCAUGUUUUACUGAUAUCUGCUGAGACACAGUAAGCUCAAUCAUGUGUGAUCCUAUGAGAGCCACUGAAAAUGUAACAUCCACAUGGAACCAGAAGCUGCUGGAAUUGGAAGAACUGGAACCUUGGCUUUGGGGCAAUGGGCAUUUCCAUCUGAAGGAGUUAGAGGUUGUUAUUCCAAACCAUUGCAAAGCUCCAAACCGGGUCAGUGAUGCAGUUACACGGCACAGUGUACCUUUGGUUACCGGAUGAAGCAAGAGGGGCUUUCUGGCCAACACCGGCCUCGCCCUGGCUUGUACCUGCUCCAAGCCUCACAGAGCCCUUGGAGGCCACUGGCUGAGCAUUGGCAGGGUUGGCAUCCCUGGUGGAUGACUUAGGAGGGUGCCAAAUACUCGAGGUCACAUACUGGGGUGCAUGCGCGGUACCUGUAGGCCUGGGUGACAGAGAUUACAAGGGUGUUUGUAAAUGAGGCAUUUCCUAGGUAAUAGCAGGGGUUUGAGGAACACACAGAAUUCCAGCCACAGAUGGAGCUGGAGAUCAUAAUGACAAUGCAGAUGAA
Long non-coding RNA from Melospiza melodia melodia, 923 nucleotides. RefSeq lists it as uncharacterized. The transcript has 6 exons. The record is from RefSeq and is a predicted model, not a curated record. NCBI's taxonomy places the organism in Eukaryota, Metazoa, Chordata, Aves, Passeriformes, Passerellidae.